GACCACCCUCUCACAAUAUCGAAAGGAUGCUCACCCAUCGGCCUAUAGUGGCGACCACAAGGAAGAUUGUAGCCAUUGGUGUCUACCUGGAUUGCCCGAUGCUUGGAACCAGCUUUUAUAUGCAGCUCUCUUCACUUGACAAUAUUUUUAUUAAUAGGAUUAAUAAUCUUUCAAGGCAGUUGAUUUUUUUAGAAGAUCAUUAAUUAUUUCGAUGAUAAGGGUUAAAAAUUUUUCUUUCUUCUUUCCAAUUUUCUUGUGCAAGUGGGCAAUAAGAGACAGGGGGGAGGGGGCUUGAUGCUUCAACUGUAAAUUUUAGAUUUUAUUUUUGGCAAUGAAGUUGUUGCCAUGCAAUGUAUGAAAUACCCUCUGAUGUCUUAAUUAAAAAGCUUAUUGGCUUUAGACUACACUAAAUUUUGGGCUAUUUGCAAGGGCAACAUCCAAGGCUCUGUUUGGAAGGGACGAAAAUGGGUCAAGAGACCCACCAUUUUGUUUAUUUUCUCAUCUACUUUCCUCCCUCUGGCAAACGGAGCCUUUAGAUGGGUUCUUAUUCUCCUAAAGGUCCAGCUCUGUGGAAACAUAGGUCUAUGAUCCAAUAAUAUUGUAUUAUGGAUUA
RNAcentral lists this unclassified non-coding RNA (613 nucleotides) under Hevea brasiliensis (rubber tree). The record is from RNAcentral. Lineage: Eukaryota; Viridiplantae; Streptophyta; Magnoliopsida; Malpighiales; Euphorbiaceae.